CCUACGGGAGGCUGCAGUAGGGAAUUUUCGGCAAUGGGGGGAACCCUGAACGAGCAACGCAGCGUGAACGAAGAAGUUAUUCGUAGUGUAAAGUUCUUUUAACAGGGAAGAAAGAGAAAUUUGACGGUACCUGAAGAAUAAGCCCCGUCAAACUACGUGCCAGCAGCCGCGGUAAUACGACGGGAGCGAGCGUUAUCCGGAAUUAUUGGGCGAAAGGGUUGCGUAGAUGGCAUAGUAAGUCUUUUGUAAAAAUGCUGGGCUCAACCCAGUAGGGCAAAAGAUACUGCAAAGCUAGAGUAUGACAGAGGCAAGUGGAACUACAUGUGUAGCGGUAAAAUGCGUAAAUAUAUGUAAGAACACCAGUGGCGAAGGCGGCUUGCUGGGUCGAUACUGACAUUGAGGCACGAAAGCGUGGGGAGCAAACAGGAUUAGAUACCCUUGUAGUC
Molecule: ribosomal RNA, 446 nt
Filed under: uncultured bacterium
Lineage: Bacteria
Description: partial 16S ribosomal RNA
Rfam family: Bacterial small subunit ribosomal RNA
Source: RNAcentral